AUUAAUAACAAUGUAUUAUGAAUAAUGUGUUAAGAAGAGGAGCAAAAUAAAUUUUGACAACAAAGGAAAGUUAGAAGUGAACCACGUAGCUGGUUCAAAGUCAUUUGUACGACUUCGUCACGACAUGCGAGAUUCCGUCACUGACUAGGAGCCUGGACCAAUAGACUUCUACAAAGAGACUCACUGUCGGCAUGUGACGGGAUCUUGGGUACAUCCUAGAGCCAGUGAGAUUUGGGAGGAGAUGGACACCUUACGCAGUCAGCCCACUCCCGAUGGUACUCAGCGGAGUGAACCAGAGAUCCUGAGUCAGGUGCUUAGCACCCAUUCUGGAUAUGUGCGUCGGUUUGGCCAUGGUGCUAUGCUCAUGGCAUCCGCUAGAGCUGCCUCUAGCCGAUCCAUCGUCAUUGGCGACAACGCCAUACGCCGAGCUGAUACUGCAGAGAGAGAGAGGUUUUGUAGCUACAGGUUGUCGUCGAUGACCUCAAAUAUCAGCUGGAUAGGCAGAGGGAGGAGCAGGAGAGGAAGAUGAUGGAUCAGCUGGCGAGGCAGAGGGAGGAGCAGGAGAGGAGGAUGGAGGAGGAGUUGGCGAGGCAGAGGGAGGAGCAGGAGAGGAGGAUGGAGGAUCAGCUGACAAGAUAGAGGAGGAUGGAGGAGGAGCUGGUGAGGCAGAGGGAGAAGCAGGAGAGGAGGAUGGAGGAGAUGCGGGUGGAGCAUGAGCGACAGAUGACGGAGAUGUUUUAGGUUUUUGCUGCACGCUUACCCACUGAUGCCCCACCGCCUCCGCCUUCAAUUUUGUGAUUUUUUAUAUAUUUGUUUAUGAUGUUAAGUUUAUAUGUAUUUAUGCGUAAAUGAAUGUGAUAUAGAUAAGAUUAUUUGUGUUUGGAUGAAUGUAGUUUAUGUUUGGGUUUGGGUUUAGAUGGAUGUGAAUGUGAAUAUGAUGAAAUAUAUUAUAUAACAGG
Magnolia sinica is the source of this 959-nucleotide long non-coding RNA. RefSeq lists it as uncharacterized. The transcript is spliced from 3 exons. The record is from RefSeq and is a predicted model, not a curated record. Lineage: Eukaryota; Viridiplantae; Streptophyta; Magnoliopsida; Magnoliales; Magnoliaceae.